This 113-nucleotide Y RNA is filed under the name Cebus imitator (Panamanian white-faced capuchin). RNAcentral describes it as "Y RNA (ENSCCAG00000012125.1)". It matches the Rfam family "Y RNA". Rfam says of the family: Y RNAs are components of the Ro ribonucleoprotein particle (Ro RNP), in association with Ro60 and La proteins. The Y RNAs and Ro60 and La proteins are well conserved, but the function of the Ro RNP is not known. Lineage: Eukaryota; Metazoa; Chordata; Mammalia; Primates; Cebidae. The record is from Rfam by way of RNAcentral.
GACUGGUCUGAAGGUAGUGAGUUAUCUCAGCAGAUUGUUCACAGUCAGUUACAGAUGGAACACCGCAUUCUACUCUCUCCCUGCUUCUCACUACUGCACUCGAAUCAUCUUUA